This 492-nucleotide ribosomal RNA is filed under the name uncultured bacterium. RNAcentral describes it as "partial 16S ribosomal RNA". It matches the Rfam family "Bacterial small subunit ribosomal RNA", at positions 28 to 507 of the family's 1533-position model. The record is from RNAcentral.
GAUGAACGCUAGCUACAGGCUUAACACAUGCAAGUCGAGGGGAAACGACAUCGAAAGCUUGCUUUUGAUGGGCGUCGACCGGCGCACGGGUGAGUAACGCGUAUCCAACCUGCCCAUCACUUGGGAAUAACCUUGCGAAAGUAAGACUAAUACCCAAUGACAUCCCACGAAGACAUCUGAAUGGGAUUAAAGAUUUAUCGGUGAUGGAUGGGAAUGCGUCUGAUUAGCUUGUUGGCGGGGUAACGGCCCACCAAGGCAACGAUCAGUAGGGGUUCUGAGAGGAAGGUCCCCCACAUUGGAACUGAGACACGGUCCAAACUCCUACGGGAGGCAGCAGUGAGGAAUAUUGGUCAAUGGGCGAGAGCCUGAACCAGCCAAGUAGCGUGCAGGAUGACGGCCCUAUGGGUUGUAAACUGCUUUUAUAAGGGAAUAAAGUGGGUCUCGUGAGACUUUUUGCAUGUACCUUAUGAAUAAGGACCGGCUAAUUCCGUG